Long non-coding RNA from Manduca sexta (tobacco hornworm), 435 nucleotides. RefSeq lists it as uncharacterized. The record is from RefSeq and is a predicted model, not a curated record. The transcript is spliced from 2 exons. NCBI's taxonomy places the organism in Eukaryota, Metazoa, Arthropoda, Insecta, Lepidoptera, Sphingidae.
UCUCGUUACCGAAGUCGACGUUUUAUCGUUUGUUUUUCGAAUUUAUUAUAGAAUUAUUAUUCCAACAGGAAUAGUUACUAUGUUCGAUAUACAUAAAUAGCCCCUAAAAAGUUUCACCAUUCUUUUGUAAUAUAAAGAAUAAAAUGGAUGUCAAUUUAUGAAUAAAAUGGAUGUCAAUUUAUGUUCGAGAUGUAAUAAUAUAAUUCGAACCAGAGAAUUUAUGGCAUGUUGCACAUGUAAAUGUAAAUACGAUAUAGACUGCGUAAAUAUGUCGUACAAAAGAUUCAACCUAAUAAGAAACACUGAACAUAUGAAUACUUGGAAGUGUCCAGAAUGUAGAAAAGUGACAGAAAAUAUUGACAACACUUCUGCAACGGAUAACAGCAUGCCUUCUCCAAAUUCACUUAAUAAUGUGACCAUACGUUCAAAAAUAAA